Long non-coding RNA from Centropristis striata (black sea bass), 225 nucleotides. RefSeq lists it as uncharacterized. The transcript is spliced from 3 exons. The record is from RefSeq and is a predicted model, not a curated record. NCBI's taxonomy places the organism in Eukaryota, Metazoa, Chordata, Actinopteri, Perciformes, Serranidae.
CAGUGAAGUCUCCCCGAGCUCCUGCAGCCCUUCAACCUCCCGGCAGAACAAUGAGACGCCAUCCUGCUCCGUCAGGACCAGCAGAGAACAAUUUGAGGCCAAGUACCUGCAGCUUCUCAAGCUCGGAGAAGGCGGCCAAGGAACGGUUUAUGCUGGAGAAAGAAAAACUGACAACUUACCAGUGGCGAUCAAACGCAUCCCUAAAGCUGAUGAGAAGACUCGACC